RNAcentral lists this ribosomal RNA (253 nucleotides) under uncultured bacterium. RNAcentral's name for it is "partial 16S ribosomal RNA". It matches the Rfam family "Bacterial small subunit ribosomal RNA", at positions 524 to 776 of the family's 1533-position model. The record is from RNAcentral.
GACAGAGGGUGCAAACGUUGUUCGGAAUUACUGGGCGUAAAGCGUGUGUAGGCGGUCGAGUAAGUCGGGUGUGGAAGCCCAGGGCUCAACCCUGGAAGUGCACUCGAUACUGCUCGGCUAGAGUACUGGAGAGGUUGGUGGAAUUCUCGGUGUAGAGGUGAAAUUCGUAGAUAUCGAGAGGAACACCGGUGGCGAAGGCGGCCAACUGGACAGAUACUGACGCGGAGACACGAAAGCGUGGGGAGCAAACAGG